This 216-nucleotide non-coding RNA is filed under the name Eubacterium sp. Its description in RNAcentral is "T-box sequence". It matches the Rfam family "T-box leader". Rfam says of the family: Uncharged tRNA acts as the effector for transcription antitermination of genes in the T-box leader family. T-boxes are found upstream of many aminoacyl-tRNA synthetase genes and some amino acid biosynthetic genes usually in Gram-positive bacteria. The record is from RNAcentral. Lineage: Bacteria; Bacillati; Bacillota; Clostridia; Eubacteriales; Eubacteriaceae.
UUAAAUGCAAUGACUGAGGGCGCAAGCCAAAAGUAGUUGAUAAUUUUGCUUUUUCAGAGAACGGCGCAUAUGCUGAAAGUGCCGUAUUGCUUUUAUCAAUGAAUUUCGACUCACGAGCUUCCUAUGAAAAGUAGGGCGUAUAUCUGCGUUAAGGAUUUUGAGUGGCACAUUGUUUGUGCAAUUUGAGUGGUACCACGGAUAUUAUUCGUCUCAUUU